RNAcentral lists this ribosomal RNA (637 nucleotides) under uncultured bacterium. RNAcentral's name for it is "bacterial SSU rRNA". It matches the Rfam family "Bacterial small subunit ribosomal RNA", at positions 56 to 690 of the family's 1533-position model. The record is from RNAcentral.
UGCAGUCGAACGGGAUUUAAGAUAGCAAUAUUUUGAUGAGAGUGGCGCACGGGUGCGUAACACGUAUGCAACCUACCUUUAACUGGUGAAUAGCCCCGGGAAAUCGGGAUUAAUACACCAUAACAUUACGGAAUGGCAUCAUUCUGCAAUUAAAGAUAUUCGGUUAGAGAUGGACAUGCGGGACAUUAGCUGGUUGGUGAGGUAACGGCUCACCAAGGCAACGAUGUCUAGGGGUCCUGAGAGGGUUUUCCCCCACACUGGUACUGAGACACGGACCAGACUCCUACGGGAGGCAGCAGUAAGGAAUAUUGGUCAAUGGGCGCAAGCCUGAACCAGCCAUGCCGCGUGCAGGAAGACGGCCCUAUGGGUUGUAAACUGCUUUUGUCAGGGAAUAAAUGUAGGUACGUGUACUUACUUGAAGGUACCUGAAGAAUAAGCAUCGGCUAACUCCGUGCCAGCAGCCGCGGUAAUACGGAGGAUGCAAGCGUUAUCCGGAUUCAUUGGGUUUAAAGGGUGCGCAGGCGGAUUGGUAAGUCAGGGGUGAAAUCCCACAGCUCAACUGUGGAACUGCCUUUGAUACUGUCAGUCUAGAGUAUAGUUGAAGUUGGCGGAAUGUGUCAUGUAGCGGUGAAAUGCU